UUCCCUCAAUUAUGCCAGUGGAUCAUUCAUAUACCCUUGAUCUCAGUUCCAAUAUACUUGAAGGAAACAUACCAAUUGUACCAACUGUAAAAGAAAGAAAUGAACUCAUGGGCCCUAAAGGGAGUACUACCUUGGAUUACUCAAAUAAUUCCUUCACUUCCGUUUCACCUAACUUUGGCAAGUAUCUCAGAGAAACAAUAUUUCUUGAUUUGUCCAAGAACAAACUGG
This 228-nucleotide long non-coding RNA is filed under the name Setaria italica (foxtail millet). RNAcentral's name for it is "long non-coding RNA (SITA_LNC003529)". Lineage: Eukaryota; Viridiplantae; Streptophyta; Magnoliopsida; Poales; Poaceae. The record is from RNAcentral.